CAAGGCCCCCCCUCACAACAAACAGUAUUUUGGCCUUCUGAGGGUGGGUCGUGCUGACUGCAGUGCAGAGAGCAAACGGUACAGGUGAUGAGGAUGGUGAUUGCUUUAGGAAGAGAAGUUCUCAGAUAGCAUAGGGCAAAUUUGGAAACUAUUUCUCAUAGGGAAGUGGCCCAAACAUGGCCUCGUUUCAAUCAGACCUUCUAAGAUCUCAAAUAAAUGGAAUGAUGGGUCUCAGAAAGGGAUUUAGAACCUACAAGCUCAGUGUCUUCUGUGUAGCAGUGGUCAGAGUCGAGUCCUUCAGAGGAAAGUACAGACAGUUCUGGGACCACCUGCCCCCACAGGAAGCCUGUCCCUAUUUCCCAUCAUUUCUCAUUGGCCUUCAAACUGAAGCGUAAGACUGUAUCCCUUGAAAAUGUCUAUUCUGGCAAACAAUCACAGAAAGUGUUUUCAUCAUUCCUGCAUUCUUUUAACAGUCCUGCUAAGGUUUAAGCCUUGAGAAUAGCACGUGGCCUACAGGCUGGUGUCUGGCGGUACACCUUCCUUCCCUUAGCACUGCACUUACAGUUUCCCUGUCCCUGGUGUAUUUUCCUCAUGACGUGUUCUUUCACUCCAUCUUCAGUCUUACCUGGAUGUGUGAAGGUCAAUCCAGGAAUGCUGUUCAUUCACUUUUGGGAAGAGCUCUCCAAGGUUUCUGUAUGGUUCACCCCAAACUGGUGAAUUCACAACCUGGCUGUAGCAAACACAUCUUCCAAGUCCUUCCUGCAGGCUUUUUGGUUGGUUAGCAGCCCUCAGUUUUUGAGGUAUGCCUUCAUUUUGGCUUCAGCAUCCAAUUCUCUUCUCACUAAGGCUCAUGUGACACAGACGCAACUCAGGUGAAGUUACUGCAGCUUUUCAGUGCUGUCCAUACAAGCAGUCAGGCUCCUGGCCGCAUAUCUCUGUAUGCACCAUAAAUCUUAUCCUAGCAAUUGAAGUAUCUCUGCUUCCUUGACAUGUAGGCUCCUUCCUCUUUAGUACAGGGGUUAGUUCAGACACAUGCUUUUGUGCUGUCUCUCUUGACCUUUCCCAUCUGCUUUAAUUGCAGCCCCCAGAAGUAUUUCCCUAGAAGGCUGAAUGCAGAAAAAAGGCAAGCAUGUGUCAGGUCCAUUCAAGGUUGACCACCAGAGCACCCUCAGCAGACAGAUUGCUUCAAAAUCUUCAGGUAAGACUAUGCAUUCUUCUAGAAACUUCUCCAGAAACAGUACAAGAGACUUUCCCCUUCCCCCCUAAACCUCACUGGAGUGUUAGAUGUCUUUCUGUCUCUGUUGAUCCCUUUAAAAAAUCCUGAGGUUUGGCUUCAUUUCACUCGUACAGCGCUCAGCUGACAUUGUUCUCAGCUGUAGUUUUAAAAUGCUCAGUAUUCCAUUUUCUAAAAAGGUACUUUAAAAAGAAGGCUCCCUUUUCCCCUCAAUUUUAUCUUUCUUUGAACAACAACAACAACAACAAAAAUCCAUCUCAGAACCUCAAGUGCUGGGAAAGAGUUGAGUGGGAGGGCUUCUUGCGGUGUGAAUUGUCACAGGUGACUAAAAUUAAGCUGACCAGGGAGGUAACUAGCUAAUCUAACAAUUCCUAUGUGGCUGGUGGUACGUGGCGUGUUUCUGCAUGGCAGGAGUCGGAGCAGUCACACGGUCUGGAACGCUCGGCUCUGGGCAGGCACCAUGACCAGCGUGGCUCCCAUCUUCAUCAGGUUGGCGUAGUCGACUUUCUUUGGCUCUGUUUCCUUCCCUCCCAUCUCCCUCUGGCUGUACUGUGGGGGAGUCAGAUGGGGAGUAGCUUCGGUUGACAAAGUCCGCUGGCUGCGAGAGGCACUGUUGGCUGUCGACCUGGUUGAGGAGGAACCCGAGCGUGAGCUCCUGGAACCAGAGGAUGAGGAGCUGGGCUUGACAAGAUGGGCUUUGGGUGCCUCUGCGUCUUCUCUGAUUUCAUUCGGGGCCUCCUCUUCCUCAUACCUCUUCUUUUCUUUCCUUCUUAUUGUCAGCCUCACCACCAGGAACAGGAGGCAGAGUCCCACCACAACCCCACAAACUGCUCCAGCAAUCAUGCCAAUAUUUUGGGCAUGCUGCACUGUCACCCGAACAACACAGCUCUCUUGUCCGGCCUCAUUGGUGGCCAUACAUUGGUACAACCCUGUACUCAUCUGAGUGAGGUUCUUCAGUAAGACUUGACCCGGAUUAGAAAUGUCUGAAACAGGAGAAACAAUACUCAGUUUAAUCAAAGAAGACUAAGAAUGGAUGGAUGGAACGUAAAAACGAGCUCUGAACUUGCAGAUCAAAUCAGUUCAAGAUCAGCGAUAACUCAGGAAGGACCAUCUGUCAAUCUUUUGCAAAACAUGAGACCUUGUGGACUUCCUUGCUCAGGGUGGAGCACAGUACAGCAUCCUGCUGUAGCCAAGUUCUGGUAAAGCACUGCUCUCGCUGCCAGCACGCAGUUACAAAGCGGACACACAGUGUGCCUGUGGGUGGUUAUCUGGCUUUCGGCACAUGGAGAGCUCUAAGAGGAAGUGACUUACUGACUCUCGAUGUAGGUGGGAGAUGUUCAGCUUUCUCAUCUUCCUCGUUUAUGCGCUGCCACCGGUAGGAGAUGGGCGCAGUGCCAGAGGAAGAACGGCACUGCAGGGACAGGUCUUUCCCUUCUGACAGCUCUCCUUCCAGCCAGCACUUGGGCUUGGA
Molecule: long non-coding RNA, 2705 nt
Filed under: Gallus gallus (chicken)
Lineage: Eukaryota; Metazoa; Chordata; Aves; Galliformes; Phasianidae
Source: RNAcentral